AGUGAACGCUGGCGGUAGGCCUAACACAUGCAAGUCGAACGGCAGCACAGUAAGAGCUUGCUCUUACGGGUGGCGAGUGGCGGACGGGUGAGGAAUACAUCGGAAUCUACUUUUUCGUGGGGGAUAACGUAGUGAAACUUACGCUAAUACCGCAUACGACCUACGGGUGAAAGCAGGGGAUCUUCGGACCUUGCGCGAUUGAAUGAGCCGAUGUCGGAUUAGCUAGUUGGCGGGGUAAAGGCCCACCAAGGCGACGAUCCGUAGCUGGUCUGAGAGGAUGAUCAGCCACACUGGAACUGAGACACGGUCCAGACUCCUACGGGAGGCAGCAGUGGGGAAUAUUGGACAAAGGGCGCAAGCCUGAUCCAGCCAUACCGCGUGGGUGAAGAAGGCCUUCGGGUUGUAAAGCCCUUUUGUUGGGAAAGAAAAGCAGCAGGUUAAUACCCCGCUGUUCUGACGGUACCCAAAGAAUAAGCACCGGCUAACUUCGUG
This 492-nucleotide ribosomal RNA is filed under the name uncultured bacterium. Its description in RNAcentral is "partial 16S ribosomal RNA". It matches the Rfam family "Bacterial small subunit ribosomal RNA", at positions 29 to 507 of the family's 1533-position model. The record is from RNAcentral.